RNAcentral lists this long non-coding RNA (416 nucleotides) under Fukomys damarensis (Damara mole-rat). RNAcentral describes it as "lncRNA (ENSFDAG00000027672.1)". Lineage: Eukaryota; Metazoa; Chordata; Mammalia; Rodentia; Bathyergidae. The record is from RNAcentral.
UAGACAUUCAUUCCAUCUUUCCAGAGCAGCAGCUUGACAAAACAUGGGAUUGCCAACCCUGAAGCUGGACCCUUGCCCAGAGUGGUGAGGAGUGGCACCCAGGCCAUGUGUGACUCCUAUUAGUUGUCCAGCUGGUGUAUUUGGUGCACCACCACUGAUCCAACUGAAUACUUUGAGCCUCAUCCAAGAUUACCCAGAUCGCCCAGAACCAAUGAAUGCAGCACGGAGCAUAUUCAUCUUAGAUGCCAUCUAUGGUGAAAAUGCCAAGAAAUCCUGAUUGUUAUACUAGCAAGAAUCCUAGGAGUAUGGCAAGCUCUGACUGGAGAUUUUAAAAAAGAUAUUUGUGUGAACAGUUCAUUUCACAGAACAAAGUGCUAAAUAUGUGCUUAGUACUGAUGAUGUUAUAAUAAAGGUCG